RNAcentral lists this long non-coding RNA (3309 nucleotides) under Homo sapiens (human). Its description in RNAcentral is "non-protein coding lnc-DIAPH1-1:1". Lineage: Eukaryota; Metazoa; Chordata; Mammalia; Primates; Hominidae. The record is from RNAcentral.
UGAGAUAGAGUUUCACUCUUGUUGCCCAGGCUGGAGUGCAAUGGCACAAUCUCAGCUCAUUGCAACCUCCACCUCCCAGGUUAAAGCAAUUCUCCUGACUCAGCCUCCCAAGUAGCUGGGAUUACAGACAUGCACCACCACGCCCGGCUAAUUUUGUAUUUUUUUAGUAUAGACGGGGUUUCUCCAUGUUGGUCAGGCUGGUCUCAAACUCCCAACCUCAGGUGAUCCACCCGCCUCGGCCUCCCAAAGUACUGGGAUUACAGGCGUGAGACUCCUGUCUGUACAAGAAAGUAAUAGAUAGAUAGAUAGAUAGAUAGAUAGAUAGAUAGAUAGAUAGAUAGGCAGACAGUAGGUGGCUUGCACCUGUAGUCCCUGUUACACCGGAGGCAAAGGUGGGAUAAUUGCUUGAGCCUAGGAGUUUGAGGCUGCAGUGAGCUAUGAUCGUACCGCUGCAUUCCAGCUUGGGAGACAGAGCAAUUAAAAAAAAAAAAGAAAGAAGAUUUGAUAUAAACUCACCUCAAUUAACCCAUGACUGUCUUUAGAAAAUACCGAAUCACCUGACAGCAAAAGGGGCUCGCUUUUUUCAAAGCUCUCCUGGCUGACGAGCAUGUCUGCAUAGUUGGGCUGGGGGAAGAUCAGGUGACUCUUCCGCGAGUCCGUGGUGAGGGAAACCUCGUGGGAAUAGGUCUGCAGGAAAGCCUGCACCCCGUCCACGCCCACAAAGUGCGACGCCGGCGCUCCUGUCAAGCCGCCUCCUGAAGCCUGCAGCAGGCGUGACUUGUGCCAGCGCCGCAGCCUGAGCGCCAGCAGCAAGAUGACGAAGGCCAGGAAGACGCAGGAGACCGCGGCCACCGCUACCACCAGGUACAGAGUGAGGUCUGAGGUUUCAGAGUUAGCUGGAGACUCGAGGCUGCCGAGGUCCGCCAGGACUUGGGGGAUGCUGUCGGCCACGGCCACGGUGAGCGUGACAGUGGCGGAGAGAGGGGGCUGGCCGUGGUCCUGGACGGCCACUACGAGGCUCUGCUUGAGCGCGUCUCUGUCCAGCAGGGCUCGCGCCGUGCGCACCUCGCCCGUGUGCAGACCCACCGAGAAGAGUCCCGGCUCGCUGGCCUUGAGCAGACGGUAGGACAGCCAGGCGUUCUGGCCGGAGUCUCUGUCCACCGCCACCACCUUGGUCACCAGGUAGCCGGGCUCUGCGGAGCGGGGAGCCAGCUCCACGCCAGUGGAACCGUCCGUGGGGAGGGCGGGGUACAGGAUCUCGGGCGCAUUGUCGUUCUGGUCCAGCACGAACAGGCUCAACGACACGUUGCUGCUGAGGGGCGGGUGCCCGUUGUCCCGCGCCAUCACUUUCACUUGCAAGUCUCGGAACUGCUCGUAGUCGAAGGAGCUCAGCGCAUACAGUACCCCAGUGUCGGAGUUGAUGGACACGUAGGACGAUAGGCUUGCCCCUUGGAUGGUGUUCUCAGCCAGGGAAUAAGUGAUCUGGGCGUUCUCUUCACAGUCGGGGUCGUGGGCGGUCACAGAGACGAGGGAAACUCCUCUGGGAUUGUUCUCUGGGAUAUAAGCGGAAUAGGAGGCCUGAGGGAAGACCGGCGGGUUGUCGUUGGUGUCUGCCACGUUCAGCGAGAUAUGAGUUUCCGUGGAUAGGGGCGGGGUUCCCCGGUCAGUGGCGGUCACUGUGAUGUUGUAGCUAGGAACCUGUUCCCUAUCCAAGACUAUGUCUGUGACUAAACUAUAGUAAUUUCCGUAAGAUUUUUCUAAUUUAAAGGGCAGAUUUCCUUGGAUGAAACAGAUCACCUGUCCGUUUUCCUCAGAAUCUUGGUCAUUUACAUUUAAAAGGGCAAUUAAUGUCCCUCUGGGAGAGUUUUCGGGAACCGAGCUGGCGAGAGAGGUGAGGACCACUUCUGGGGCAUUGUCGUUCACGUCCAGAACAGUGAUCAGGACUUUGGCUCGCGCAGAAUAUCCUGCAUUAUCCAUUGCUUGCACUUCCAUCUGGUAGAAUCCUGACUCCUCGUGGUCCAACUCCCCUAUUGUUGAUAUUGUCCCUGAAUUACAAUCUAGUUUGAAAACUUGGGCCGCCUUGUCGUCCACAUACCGGAAGGAAUACCUCACUUCCGCAUUGACUCCUUCGUCAGGGUCGGUAGCGUUGACUACAAGCAGCUGCGUGCCCAAGGCCAGAUUCUCCGGAACGCUCGCGCGGUACUCGGGCUGAGCAAACGCUGGUGCGUUGUCGUUCGCAUCCAGAACCAUCACGCGGAUGCGCGCGGUGCCUGUGCGCACCGGGUCGCCCCCGUCGGAGGCCGUAAGGACCAGGUGGUGAGCAGCCUUUUCUUCGCGGUCCAGGGCGCGUUUCAGCACCAAUUCGGGGUACUUACUACCGUCGGCUCCAUUUUGCACGAUGAGGGAGAAGUGAGUGUUCGGGCUGAGCUCGUAGCUCUGCAGAGAGUUCUUCCCGAUAUCCGGAUCCCAGGCGUGGGGUAGAGGGAACCGCAUCUCAGUGGCUGCAUUUUCACUAAUUUUUAUUUCUAAUUCACUUUCACGAAAGUAAGGCGCAUUGUCGUUAAUGUCCCUUACUUCUACUUCUACUCCAUAUAUUUUCACUUUAUCCUCCAUCAGAAUGUCUAGAUUUAAUUGACACUUGAUGGCCCCCAUACAGAGCUCCUCCCGGUCUAUCCUGCCCGCCGUGACCAAGCUGCCGCUGCGCGGAUUCAGGGCGAAAAGCUGCGUCCUACCUCUGGGGAUGAUGCGGACUCCGCGCUCCGCGAGCUCCCGGGGCUCCAGCCCCAGGUCCCUGGAGAUGUCGCCCACCCUAGAGCCUUUCUCCAGCUCUUCCGGAACUGAAUAGCGUAUCUGGGUGCAUCCGGUCUCCCACAGAGUCCCCAGGAGGAUUCCCAGCAGGACAAGCCCUUUGUAGUCCCGGUGCAGUCGCGCAGGAAUCAUUCUUAUCUUCCUCCAGAAUUAUUUUCAAUUCUGCCCUUAACCACUGAAGUCAGGAGCAGUUCCUUCGCCCAUAGAAUGGGACAGUUGGGAAGUCAGAGCUCCUCCGUUGUUUCCACAUACUCCCAGGGAUGGUUCAUUCCUAGCUAUCUGCUUUGUGCUUCAGGCGCGUGCAAGGCGAGCAGGAUCUCCGCUUUUCUCUCCCCGAUUGGUGAACAGCGGCGCUCAGAGUCCUAACCAAUUACUGCACAAUCUUGAACUCCCAGAAAGGAUAUUUCGUUUUUAUAUCUUAAAUAGCUCCACCUACUGUUCUUCAAAAGGGGAUGGAAAUCUACCGUAUUCGCUUUAAUAGAAACUUUAGUGAGCUUUUUU